AGAAUCAACGCUGGCGGCGUGCCUAACACAUGCAAGUCGAACGCGAAAAUCCCGCAAGGGAUCAGUAGCGUGGCAAACGGGUGAGUAACGCGUGGGCGACCUACCUUCGAGUGGGGGAUAACCUUCCGAAAGGAGGGCUAAUACCGCAUGACAUCCCGUGUUUGGAUACACGGACAUCAAAGCCGGGAUCGUAAGACCUGGCGCUUGAAGAGGGGCCCGCGUCCGAUUAGCUAGUUGGCGAGGUAAUGGCUCACCAAGGCUCCGAUCGGUA
This 271-nucleotide ribosomal RNA is filed under the name uncultured bacterium. RNAcentral's name for it is "partial small subunit ribosomal RNA". It matches the Rfam family "Bacterial small subunit ribosomal RNA", at positions 26 to 285 of the family's 1533-position model. The record is from RNAcentral.